This is a long non-coding RNA of Nicotiana attenuata, 4620 nucleotides long. RefSeq lists it as uncharacterized. The record is from RefSeq and is a predicted model, not a curated record. Lineage: Eukaryota; Viridiplantae; Streptophyta; Magnoliopsida; Solanales; Solanaceae. The transcript is spliced from 2 exons.
UUUUUAAUUUCGCAUUUUUUGCUACAUCCUUAUUUUCGUUUGUUGUUGGUAUUGUUUGUUGGGUAUUUGUUUUUGAUUAUCAUCAAAUCAAAAAUAAAUCGAAAAAUUCCAAAAAUAGUAAGAUCUGUUCAUUAACGUUCUAAAAUAGAAAUUGUAUUUGUUCUUCACUGUUUAAUCGUAUUUGUCUAUCUGUGCUUGAUAUUUUGAGUCCGAAAUUAUUGAAUCUACUGAAAUUGAUUAAUAUCAAUUGGAGAUUGUCUGAUUACUUGGGUUCUAGUUCGAAUUCCACCACUGUAUCUCCAUUGGCAACUUCGAGUUUCUCGGGUUAGCUCAGAUUUAAAUUUCGUUGAGGAUUUGGGUUCAAAAUCGGUUGGAUUUUUGUGAUUCUUGUUGGAAACAUCAACACGAAGCUGAAUCUGAAGGGUCAAUCCGAUUAACACUGAAUUUCUUGGGUUUUGAUUGAAAAUUUCGAUUUCAGUUUCAGAGAGGACGACGAGCCGGAUUCUUCUGAAUUCGUGAUUGUUUCUAGAAAUCAAUCACUGGGGGUUUGAUUUUUAUGCUGUUUGGAAGUUGAAUCCAAAAUUUGAGCUCGUUUUGGUGAAGGUUUGUUCGAUAAUCGGAUUUUCUGGUGUUGAGGCUCGAAGAACUUCGAAGAAAAACUUCAGUUUCUGGGGUUGAGUUUGAAGCUGCGUAGCCUAUGCAUCGUCCCUGCACGUCGACACUUAGCCAAUUCCAGAAGGCAUCAGGUUUGAUUCUUCUAAGUCGAAAGUUAGUUUUAUGUGCUGAAAAUUGUGAAGAAAGUUUGAGUUAUAGCUGAACUUCGACUCGAUCGUUCUGAGUUAAUUGAUUUGAAUGAAUUCGACUAGCGUGCUUAGCUUGAUUUCUGAGUAUUGAGCUGAAAUUUGUUCUCAAUUUGUUGCUGCCGUUUGUGAAUCUCAGCCCUUGAUAGAGUUUCUUAGUUGUUAAACCAUCCUUGUAUCUGCUGAAUUCUGGUUUGAACUCCUUUGUGAUGCUAAAUUUCUGGUCAUUGAGCUGCAUUUCUGUGACUUGCUCUGCUGUUAUUAUAGUAUGAAGUUGAAGCUUGGUUUGUCUGAAAUUGAAAACUGGAACUUCUUCUUGUGCUUGCUGUUUGAGGGUUAAGUUCAGAAUUUUUCUGCUGAAGUUAAUGCUCAAGUGUUGCUGAAGUUUCUGAGUUUUGAGCAGUGUCUUUUUAUAGCAAGAGCUGCACAGUUGAGCAGAAAAAUAUAGGUUUUAGCAGGGGUAAAUAGCUACUGAGUCAGACUCGAUUUGGCAUUAGAUUUCUGAGAUUGUGAACUGCAAAAUUCUACAGAAAAGAACUCAGCUGAACAGUAACUUUUGACAGCCAAAAUCUGCCCUGUUUUAGCACUAUUUGAGCAGGAAAAUCUGCACAGCUUGGGGUGAAACUUCUGCACUGUUUCUGCCCUGUUGAACUGCUGAAAAUCUGCAGUAUUCGAAACAACUUCGGCACUGGUGAGGCUCCAGUUAAGCUGCAAAUUUGCAGCAACUUAUUCAUUUAAGUUCCAGAAGUUCUGCACUUUGGAACAACUUUCUGCACAGUCAAGAUCCUGCAGCAGCUGGGUGUACUUUGAACUAUUUUGGACUGUGAAUUGAUUGAGGGAAUUAGAGUUAGCUGUUCUGAAAGUUUGUGCUCAACUAUGCUUUCCGCAUUACUUGACAGAAAAAUUACUUCAGUUUGGUUUCUGCUGAUUGAAUAAGGUUUUGGUUGAGUUACACCUGGAAAAUUUGUUGAAGCUAAAGGUUCAGAAAGGAUCGGUUGUAUAUCCAGUUCAGGUUUCUGCACAGUUGGUUCACGCAGAAGAUUUCCAACAACCUGCAGUGCUGCCAGUUACUGUGACUAAAGGGAAAAUUUUCAACACAACCAACCUAACCAAUAACCACAGAACUCACCAAGGCAACCACAAUCACCAAAAUGACCUUAUUUCCUCCACCAAACUACUGACCACCUACCCACUUCCAACCUCCAACCACACAUCACCCACCACAAGUACCUCGACUACAACCUGAUCAAAUUCCACACAAGUUUACACUCCGCCACAACAAGUGCCACAACCACAACCCCACCAAGGUUACCUUCCACCACCCUAAGUGUACUACCCACGAGAACACCAACAACCAUUUAGAUUUCAAGCACACAUACCCAUAAUACCACCACCCCAAAUGACCCAACCUAGACCACCAAUGAAUCUACCUCCACAACAUAUGCCUCAAGUUCCACCAAGGAGGGACAAUCUCCCUCCUCCACCACCCGUACUACUUCAAGAGCCUCGGUUGAUGAACAAUCCACUUUUUCAACAUGAUUAAGAUGACACCUUGAAUGAGUUGGCCGACAUCCAACAAUUCUUCAAUGAAGAGUAUAGGGGAGAUGGAGUACCAAAGGGAAAGAGGCCACAUCAGAGGAAGGGGAAGAGGUAGAGGUCGAGUGAGAGGAAGAGGUAGAGGGAAUGGUCACCGUUUGUACCAGAGCAAUAUGGGGAUAUCAACUACUUUGAAGAGGGUGACCCGCUAGAGGACCAACCUUUUCCUAGAAGAUGAUGAAAGGGGUCUAAAAGUUGCCAAACAAGUUCUUCCACCUUUCAAGGAAACUAGUGACUCGGGAGAGUAUCUUGAAUGGUUACUCAAAGUAGAAAGGCACUUUGACAUCUACAACGUAAGUGAUGCUAAAAAGGUGAAGUAUGCCAUUACUCAAUUUGAAGAGAGUGCUUCAUCAUGGUGGGAAAAGGAGUUGAGGAGAAGGGCUAGACACAAUGAACCUCCAAUAACUACUUGGAGAGAUUUGAAGAAUGCUUUGAGGGUAAGAUAUGUGCCCGAUUACUAUCAACAUGCUCAAGAAACUUCAUACUUCCUACCAAGGGAACAAGAGUGUUGAGGAGUACUAUGAAGAGAUGGAGACUACAAGAUUGAGGUGUGAUGUUGAUGAUGAUGACCAAGUUGUCAUUACUAGAUUCUUGGCAGGUCUUCACAAGGAAAUUGGUGAGGCUUUGGAGCUUCACAAGUUUGAAAGAUUGGAAGAUGCUUACUUGAUGGCCUUGAAGGUAGAAAGGCGCAAGGAAACAAAAGCUACAAGUCAAAGGCUACUAGUUCUUCUCCUUGGAACAUGAAUGAUAAGCCUUGGAAAUCAACAAACAUUUGGGAGAAGUCCAAAGAUUCCAAUUACGACUUCAAGGUUCAAGUUGACAAAAGCAAGCUAAGAGUGGAGACUAAGGGACUUCCAAUGUUCAAAACAAGUCCCUUAGCAAUGUAAGAUGCCAUAAAUGUCAAGGACUUGGUCAUUACAUGAAAGAUUGUAUGAAUAGAAGAACUAUCAUUGCCAUGGAUGAUGGAAGCUAUAGAACCAAAGCUAGUCACCAAGAGCAUGGAGAUAGUGAACACGAAACAAGUGAUGAAGAAUCAGAAGAGCAAGAAAAUAAUGGUCUGAGAUCUUAAUUGUUAACAAGAAAAGUUUUAGUCAUAGCUAGAGAACCUCACGAUCAAAGGGAGAAUCUUUUUCAUAGAAGAUGCAAGAUUUUGGAAAACCUUUGCUCUCUCGUCAUUGAUAGUGGAAAUUGUGCUAAUGUAGUAAGUUCCUUAUUGCUUGAAAUGGAUUUGCCGACCAAAAAGCAUCCUUCACCUUAUAGACUCCAAUGGCUACAUGAGUGUGGAGACCUUAGAGUCACUAAAAUGGUGUUCAUAAAAUUCAAAAUUGGGAGAUUUGAAGAUGAGUUUUGGUGUGAUGUUGUUCCUAUGCAAGCUUGGCAUCUACUUUUUGGGCGACCUUGGCAAUAGGAUUGGUAUGCAAAGCAUGAUCGGAGAACAAACAAGUAUUCCCUUAUCAAGGAUGGCCAAAAGUUUACUCUUUGUCCCUUAACCCUAUUUCAAGUGAGUGAGGAUUACAAAAUAGUGAAGGAUAUGAGGCCAAAGAUGAAGAGUGAACACAAGAUACAGAGAAGUGAGGUUGAGAAAAGUGACAACUCUAGAGUGGAAAAAGGAGAGGAAGUGUGCAGUGAAAAGAGUAAGUUGUCACAAGAAAAGACUGAAGAGUUUGAAAAGAAAAUGAGAGAAAAGAAAGAGGGAAAACAAAAAGAGAGUGGUGAUUUUUCUUCUUCUAAUGCUACUAACCUUUCUUCUUUCUCUAGUUGUUUUGGAACUUGUGUAGAGACUUUUGGAGACGAACCAUCAAGUGAAGUUCAAUCCACUUUGAAGAGAUUGGAAGAAAAUUAAUCUACCUUUUCAAGAGGACUUAUGGAAUUAAAUAAGGAAGUGCAAGGUGGUUCCACAGCAGGCGGCACUGAUCAGUGAUAGCGGCACACUCUCUUCCUAGCUUACUUGGUGAGCCCCACCUCAUUUCGGGGUCGUUUAUCUUUUGUUCCUCGUGUAAUUGUGUUUUGCAGUAUAGCUGGGGCCUUAUUGCCGGCACUAUCAUAGUACUCUUUUGUAUCUAUUAUAGGCUCCAUAGACAUAGUCUGGGUUGUACAUUGGUGUUGGGAAAGUCAAACUAGUUAUGUUGUGUUUGAAUCACUUGUUCCACUUUAAACUAUGAAAGUAUUUGUAAUUUGAGACUUUAAAAUGAAGUAACUGAUGAUAGUGAAUUGGUGUUAUAUA